UUCAUAUUCCCUCCGUCCGGAAAUACUUGUCAUCAAAAUGGAUGAAAGGAGAUGUAUCUAGACAUAUUUUAGUUUUAGAUACACCAUUUUUUAUCCAUUUUGAUGACAAGUAUUUUCGGACGGAGGGAGUACAUU
This is a non-coding RNA of Triticum aestivum (bread wheat), 135 nucleotides long. NCBI's taxonomy places the organism in Eukaryota, Viridiplantae, Streptophyta, Magnoliopsida, Poales, Poaceae. The record is from Rfam.